This 279-nucleotide ribosomal RNA is filed under the name uncultured bacterium. Its description in RNAcentral is "partial 16S ribosomal RNA". It matches the Rfam family "Bacterial small subunit ribosomal RNA", at positions 506 to 784 of the family's 1533-position model. The record is from RNAcentral.
UGCCAGCAGCCGCGGUAAUACGGAGGGGGCAAGCGUUGUUCGGAAUUACUGGGCGUAAAGGGCGCGUAGGCGGCGGUUUUAGUCAGGCGUGAAAGUCCAUGGCUCAACCGUGGAAGUGCAUUUGAAACUGGAUGGCUUGAGUACUGGAGGGGGUGGUGGAAUUCCCGGUGUAGAGGUGAAAUUCGUAGAUAUCGGGAGGAAUACCGGUGGCGAAGGCGACCACCUGGCCAGAUACUGACGCUGAGGCGCGAAGGCGUGGGUAGCAAACAGGAUUAGAUA